This 355-nucleotide transfer-messenger RNA is filed under the name Verrucomicrobiia. RNAcentral describes it as "J093 sp003695015 Standard tmRNA". It matches the Rfam family "transfer-messenger RNA". From Rfam's summary of the family: Bacterial tmRNA, also known as 10Sa RNA or SsrA, is named for its dual tRNA and mRNA-like properties. Its role is to liberate the mRNA from a stalled ribosome. Lineage: Bacteria; Pseudomonadati; Verrucomicrobiota. The record is from RNAcentral. RNAcentral also lists the same sequence under 1 other name.
GGGGGCGUAUUGGAUUCGACCUGGCCAGUGCGCUCACGGCGGCAUGCCGAGGAUGGUCCGUUGGCCUCGUUAAUCAUCGGACCAAAACCAAACUGCCAACGAAGAAUUGGCUCUCGCGGCCUAAGUUUCCGCGACGUCCGCCGCCCGACCCCUGCUAGGGCGAUGCGGGCGACGACAGCAGGGUAGGUUGAGUGCGGGGUCUGCGCGUACUCAGCCGAAAUCUCCACAGCGGACUGGGAUCGUCGGCUCGUGUUGGGCCGUGACCGGCGGUCCGAGAUUGCCCGCCCAACUAAGCAUGUAGGCGUCGUGAGUGGAUGGGUCAGGGACGCGGGUUCGAUUCCCGCCGCCUCCACCA